Molecule: ribosomal RNA, 113 nt
Filed under: bacterium enrichment culture clone gang 4
Lineage: Bacteria
Description: partial 16S ribosomal RNA
Rfam family: Bacterial small subunit ribosomal RNA
Source: RNAcentral
AGGCAGCAGUGAGGAAUAUUGGACAAUGGAUGGAAAUCUGAUCCAGUCAUGUUGCGUGCAGGAUUCCUGCCUUAUGGGUUGUAUUCUGCUUUUAUACGGGAGCAAUAAGGGUU